CCUACGGGAGGCAGCAGUGGGGAAUAUUGGACAAUGGGCGAAAGCCUGAUCCAGCCAUGCCGCGUGUGUGAAGAAGGCCUUCGGGUUGUAAAGCACUUUCAGUGGGGAAGAAAGCCUUGGGGCUAAUACCCUCGAGGAAGGACAUCACCCACAGAAGAAGCACCGGCUAACUCCGUGCCAGCAGCCGCGGUAAUACGGAGGGUGCGAGCGUGAAUCGGAAUUACUGGGCGUAAAGCGCGCGUAGGCGGUCUGAUAAGCCGGUUGUGAAAGCCCCGGGCUCAACCUGGGAACGGCAUCCGGAACUGUCAGGCUAGAGUGCAGGAGAGGAAGGUAGAAUUCCCGGUGUAGCGGUGAAAUGCGUAGAGAUCGGGAGGAAUACCAGUGGCGAAGGCGGCCUUCUGGACUGACACUGACGCUGAGGUGCGAAAGCGUGGGUAGCAAACAGGAUUAGAUACCCUAGUAGUC
Molecule: ribosomal RNA, 465 nt
Filed under: Vreelandella stevensii
Lineage: Bacteria; Pseudomonadati; Pseudomonadota; Gammaproteobacteria; Oceanospirillales; Halomonadaceae
Description: partial 16S ribosomal RNA
Rfam family: Bacterial small subunit ribosomal RNA
Source: RNAcentral